CCCUUAGAUGUCCGGGGCUGCACGCGCGCUACACUGAAGGAAUCAGCGUGCUAAAACCAUUGUCGAAAGGCAUUGGUAAACCCAUUAAAAUCCUACGGGAUUGGGAUCGGGAAUUGCAAUUAUUUCCCUUGAACGAGGAAUUCCCAGUAAGUGUGGGUCAUAAGCUCGCGUUGAUUACGUCCCUGCCCUUUGUACACACCGCCCGUCGCUGCCCGGGACUGAGCCGUUUCGAGAAAAGCGGGGACUGCUGCUGUCGGGGCUUUCGGGCCUUGGCUUCGGUGGAAACCGCUUUAAUCGCAGUGGCUUGAACCGGGCAAAAGUCGUAACA
RNAcentral lists this ribosomal RNA (328 nucleotides) under uncultured eukaryote. RNAcentral describes it as "partial 18S ribosomal RNA". It matches the Rfam family "Eukaryotic small subunit ribosomal RNA", at positions 1470 to 1796 of the family's 1831-position model. The record is from RNAcentral.